GGAGUUCCUGGGCCAGGGAUGGAAUCUGAGCCACAGUAGCAACCCAAGCCACGCAGUGAUAACACCAGAUCCUUAUUCUACUGCAACACAAGAACCAAGGCCCCCCCUCCCCCCCGCCCCAAUCACAUUGUUAGGCACCUGCAAAAUUACUCUUUGUUUUGCCUUAUUAUUCUCCACCCAGUUGUCUUGCUGCUGCUGCUGCUGCUGCUGAGCUUCUUUGACCCUCUCGCAAAUUCUUCCCACAUUUGCAGCAGCCCCUUAGCACGACUUGACAUGGAGUGAAAGAAGACUCAAGGCGCUUUAGUUGUGUGUUAAAGUUUUGCUACAAUCUGACGAGGGCAGAGGCCCCAGUAGGCCAAUUAGAAGUUCAUUUUCAGCUAGGGAUAUUUUAUAAGAAUAUGUCAGGAGUUUCCGUCGUGGCUCAGUGGUUAAUGAACCCGACUAGGAUCCAUGAGCACAUGGAUUCUAUCCCUGGCCUCACUCAGUGGGUUAAGGAUCCGGUGUUGCCAUGAAUUGUGGUGUAGACAAGGCUCGGAUCCUGCGUUGCUGUGGUGUAGGCCAGCAGCGGCAGCCCUGAUUGGACUCCUUGCCUGGGAACCUCCAUACGCCAUGGAUGUGGCCCUAAAAAGACCAAAUAUAUAUAUAUACAUUUAUAUAUAUAUCAUGGUUAGGCUGAGUGCAAAAGGAAUCACUGGUCCCAACAGUCAGCUCUUCAGCUGGGUGGGUAGGUGACAUUUCCCAGCUUGUGGAUUUUAUCAUGGAUGCCAAUCUCUUUCCAGAAGGAGAAUCCAAAUUAUAUCAGGCUAAAAAGCCUCUGUUCCAAGCUUGGUGUGGAGAAUUUUUUUUUUUUUUUUGGCCACACCCACGGCAUGUGGAAGUUCCGGGGCCAAGGAUCGAACCUGUGCCUCAGCAGGGACCAGAGCCACAGCAGUGAUAAUGCUGGAUCCUUCACCACUAGGCCACGAGGGAACUCCCAGAGCAGUUUUUCAUUUUUUUAAUCCCUCUUUUUGGCCUGGUCUUAGUUAAAUACCCGACUUGGUCAAGAAGGUCUAUCUCGUUGGGUUUUUGUUCUAGGAACACGAUUCAAAGUGUCCCACUUCAGCGCUACCCAAACAACGGACGCAAAGCCCUCCUGGGGUCUGUCAGAUGCAGAUGCUGGAGCAGCAGGUGCGGGGCGGGCCCAGGACUCUGCCUUUCUCACCAGCUCCUGGGUGCUCGUGGUGCGGCUGGCCCACACUGAGUGGGGAGGGUGGUGGUAGUUGCUUUGUGCAUUUCUUCCGGAUGAUGGGUUUGAGCGUAGGCUUAAACAUAUAUGACACAUGCACGGGUGUGGUGAUUGGCAGUUUUUAUACACAGUGAUGUGAUUCCUUUGAGCCAGUGUCCAGAGCCACAAUUUCCAGAAUUUCCCAGCAAUCUGCCGUGGUACCCAUUUCUUGUGGUCUCUGCACCUGUGCCACCAAAGUAUGUAAGCUGAGAUCUUUGAGGUCCCUUAUGUGGGUGCAGCCAGAGGCAGGGAUAAACACCCAAAGACUCCCCUGCUGUCUGCUUAAAAAAUCUGAAGUUGGAGUUCCCUCGUGGCUCAGCGGGUUAAGGAUUCAGCAUUGUCACGGCCGUGGCUCAGGUUGCUGUUGUGGCACCAGACCGGGAACAUCUGUAUGCCGCAGUCAUGCCUGUUGGAGAAAGAUAAUGAAAACAAACUCUCUCCAUUGUCAAAAAACCAGAGCUGGAGUUCCCACGGCAGCUCAGUGGGUUAAGAACCUGACAUAGGACCCGUGAGGAUGUGGGUUUAAUCCCCGGCCUCACUCAGUGGGUUAAAGGGUCUGGUGUUGCCAUGACUGCGGCGUAGGUCACAGAUGCAGCUCCGAUCUGGCGUGGCUGUGGUUGUGAUGCAGGCUGGCAGCUACAUCUCGGAUUUGACUCCUAGCCUGAGGACUUCCAUAUGCCGCAGGGGCGGCAGCCCAAGAAAGAAAAAUAUUUUUUCCAUUAUGGCUUAUCAUAAAAUAUUGAAUGCAGUUUCCUUUCUGCACCUUUUGUUUUUCACGCCUGGCAUGGGACGCCUCUACUGUUCCACCUAUUCAAAAAGGAAUAAAAUGACCCACUGGUACCUCCUUACCUCCAACCGUCCGAGUCCCCAGUUUCUCUCCAUUUAACAGACGGUCACCCAUUCCAUGAACUAAAUUCGUAAAAUGCCAAUAUUCUAAUGUGCACAUUUUUGCAAAGUGAUGUCAUCAUUUGUCAGACCAUUUUCCUGGGAAUUCUCUGGGCUCCUCGCUGCUUCUCGAGUCUGUACUUUUUGUGCAACUAACACAAUAGCUGGAACCAACGGCAGGCCAACGGCUUCGGUUUGAACGUCCGUCAUGUUACCCAGAACAGGGGUGUGGGCUUGUGUGCUUGGUUUUCCCUGCGGAAACUUCUUUGUCUUCCACGGAACACACGGAGGGGUUCCGGUCCAGCACACAGAGCCCG
RNAcentral lists this long non-coding RNA (2466 nucleotides) under Sus scrofa (pig). Its description in RNAcentral is "lncRNA (ENSSSCG00050010884.1)". The record is from RNAcentral. Lineage: Eukaryota; Metazoa; Chordata; Mammalia; Artiodactyla; Suidae.